This 90-nucleotide transfer RNA is filed under the name Acidobacteria bacterium CG_4_9_14_3_um_filter_49_7. Its description in RNAcentral is "tRNA-Ser". It matches the Rfam family "tRNA". From Rfam's summary of the family: Transfer RNA (tRNA) molecules are approximately 80 nucleotides in length. Their secondary structure includes four short double-helical elements and three loops (D, anti-codon, and T loops). Further hydrogen bonds mediate the characteristic L-shaped molecular structure. tRNAs have two regions of fundamental functional importance: the anti-codon, which is responsible for specific mRNA codon recognition, and the 3' end, to which the tRNAs corresponding amino acid is attached (by aminoacyl-tRNA synthetases). tRNAs cope with the degeneracy of the genetic code in two manners: having more than one tRNA (with a specific anti-codon) for a particular amino acid; and 'wobble' base-pairing, i.e. permitting non-standard base-pairing at the 3rd anti-codon position. Lineage: Bacteria; Pseudomonadati; Acidobacteriota. The record is from RNAcentral. RNAcentral also lists the same sequence under 2 other names.
GGAGGGGUGCCGGAGUGGUCGAACGGGGGCGACUCGAAAUCGUCUGUCCGUUAGCGCGGACCGUGGGUUCGAAUCCCACCUCCUCCGCCA